Molecule: ribosomal RNA, 397 nt
Filed under: uncultured bacterium
Lineage: Bacteria
Description: partial 16S ribosomal RNA
Rfam family: Bacterial small subunit ribosomal RNA
Source: RNAcentral
AUACGUAGGGGGCGAGCGUUGUCCGGAAUGAUUGGGCGUAAAGGGCGCGUAGGCGGCCCGGUAAGUCUGGAGUGAAAGUCCUGUUUUUAAGAUGGGAAUUGCUUUGGAUACUGUCGGGCUUGAGUGCAGGAGAGGUAAGUGGAAUUCCCAGUGUAGCGGUGAAAUGCGUAGAGAUUGGGAGGAACACCAGUGGCGAAGGCGACUUACUGGGCCGUAACUGACGCUGAGGCGCGAAAGCGUGGGGAGCGAACAGGAUUAGAUACCCUGGUAGUCCACGCGGUAAACGAUGAAUGCUAGGUGUUGCGGGUAUCGACCCCUGCAGUGCCGGAGUAAACACAAUAAGCAUUCCGCCUGGGGAGUACGGCCGCAAGGUUGAAACUUAAAGGAAUUGACGGGG